UCAUCUACCCUCUAGUGGGGGAGUAAACCCUGGGAAAACCGGGGGCUAAUACCGCAUAAGCUCGAGAGAGGAAAGCAGCAAUGCGCUGGAGGAGGAGUCCGCGGCCGAUUAUUGCUAGUUGGUAGGGUAAAAGCCUACCAAGGCUACGAUCGGUAGCCGGCCUGAGAGGGCACACGGCCACACUGGCACUGAAACACGGGCCAG
RNAcentral lists this ribosomal RNA (204 nucleotides) under uncultured bacterium. RNAcentral's name for it is "partial 16S ribosomal RNA". It matches the Rfam family "Bacterial small subunit ribosomal RNA", at positions 122 to 334 of the family's 1533-position model. The record is from RNAcentral.